UACAUACAUCUAAAGCAGAAAGCCGGAAAUCCCUGUUCAUAAGGACUGUUAAUUUUAGUGAACAGUAAACCGACGCUUUUGCCCUUUUUUUUGUUCUGAAUUACAGUUUGCCAUUUUUUUUGCAUUCUGGUUGGUUUGGUUGGUUUCCACGUGGCUCUGUUUGCGUGCUCCACGAAGAGAGAGAUCAAGAAGGCUCGAGAGAGCCAGACAGGUGAAGAAGGAUCGAGACUCGGGAGUGUGAGGUGUGUUUCUUAGCUUUCCGCAAAGAGAGAGAAAGCGAAAGAGAGAGAAAGCACAGUCGAAACAGUCGAAGCCUCUAUUGACCGUAGCCGUGGAACCCAGAUAACUCUCUUCACUGUUUCACAGUAUCAGGUGCAUCGAUCAAGCUCGCAGAUACGAAGGUUGUUGGGCUGAUAACGAGUUGUAAAGAUUUUGAUCAUAGAUCGCCGGCAUGGGAAGAAGAAGAGGAGAGAUUCAAGAUUUUGGUGGCCUUUUGGAGCAAGGUUUCGGUUUGUUUCGGAAGGUUUGGGAGGAAGCUUUCAAUAGGUUGCAGAAAACAAAAGAAGUGUUGCUGGGUUUCGGGUUUCAGUGAUUGAUUUGGAGUGGUUGAAGAAAACAGAAGAAGUGUUGCUGGGUUUGGGAUUUCAGUGAUUGAAGUGCCAGCGCGAGCCCAGCCGGUCGUGGCUGAAAAGACUAUUUUGUCCCUGUGUCAGCUCUCUCUUGCCCGACACCUGUUUGCCUGCUCUGAUCCCCGUGUCUUUCUUCUUCGCUUCACAGAGAGGGAGAGAGUGGAGGGAAUUCAUUUUCUUGGACCACCAACCCUCGGUGUGUGUUUUUCUUGCUUCGACACCUGGGGUGGUUCUCAGUAUCGUGUCUAUAAUACCUCGCUCCACUGAGAGGUGUUUCUGGGUUAUUGGCUUAACCUUGAGGUGGAGGUGUGUUGAGAAAGGCAGGAGAGCUGCUGAGGUGUGGCUUCAAACAUCCAAUUCCAGAGUUAUUGUUCAUGCUUGGAGACAUAGAUUGCUUCUACGUUCAAGGUUUCAUAUGCUACUGUUGUAAGAAAUUGGUCUCCAAGGUCUGAAGAGAAGGAGAAGGUUGAAUCUGUAAAUCAAGAUUCUCGGAACAGUGUGCUGUCGAAUUUGUCAAGCGUUUUGGAUUCAGGUAAAUGAUUAUUCUGUCUUUAAUUGGAAUUUAAUUGAUUAUUCUGUCUUUGGUUUUUAAGUUCAAACUGUUUGACUCAGUUGUUCAUAAGUUGUAUCUAUGUUUGUUAGUUGUUUAUAUUUACUUUGCUUGAAGAGAGUUAUGGUACAAAUUCAACUUUGGUUACAGAGAACAGAAAAGCAAAUUAGGUACUGCAAAAUCCUCAUUAAGAAGGGAACAUAUCAACCAAAGCAAAAGGAGCAAACAAAUCAUGAGGAUAAAUGUUUUCAUCCGUGCGUGCAAGGAUAAGAAAGAGUUUGACAUUUUCAUUGGAAUAGCAUUUGAACAGUUUUAUACUUUCGUUGAAAUAGAAGCAGUAAGCUUUGUCUAUGACAUUUAACAGUUGUUUAUUCUGUAAAAUUUGUCUAUAAUCUGUUAACAAAACCUCCAUCUUCAAUUUGCUGUUACAAUUGUUGGUACUUUUGCAGACCCAAGUAACAAUAAGAAAGUAUUGAUAGGCUCCCUCACACUUCUGGCAUAUGAAUUAGAUAUUCUUUAGUUUGUUUAUGAGUUAGAUAUGAACAAUAUGUGAUGCUAGAUUUCCUUUGGAUGGUUUUGGUUUUGGUGUUGUUUUUUUUUUUUUUUGGGGUCAAAUUUGCUUGGUUUUAGUCACGAAUCCAUUUUUAGUUAAUACUCACAUGAUGCUCUUCUUAAGGUGAGAAACAUAGAUUUCAAGAAUCAGAAACAGGGAACUAAUGUUAUUUUGGAUAGAGGAUCAGCAAUCUGAAUAUGCAGAGUUUCUAUAUUGCCUGUGCGCCAUUUCCUAAAUCACCUUAGAUUAUGUGUGCUGCAUUAUUUAUAAUCCCGAUUUUCCAUUUGUGAACUGUUGAACAAUUGUUGCUGCUGCUUGCACUGUUUGUUCCUUUUGAAGAUCCUGAAAAAUAAUCUCUUUGCAUCUUUAUUCUGGGUUGUCAGUGUUAUUAUGCAGACAGUUGACUUCUCAACUUUUAUAUAUAUAUAUAUAUAUAUAUAUAUAUAUAUAUAUUGAUGUUUAAUUAUAAACUUCGAGAUACAGUCUGAUCCUUCUUUGUUUGGAUUUUAAUUUUUGAAAUUUUGGUUAUUAUCUUUGUUUGGUAUCCCAUGGGAUUAGUUUGAUGUAGAUAACAAAUUUUGAGGCUGUGAUCCUUUGAAAAAAAAAAAUUGUUUCAGCUUUACAGGUUGGAGAUAGAUGUAGGCUGCGUUGAAUGUUCGAUGAGAACUGAUGCAAAAAAGUUGGAGUGGGUUCGACCUCAGACUUCCACUUCGUUGAAUGAGAUAGCUUGACCAACAUAUAUGACCUUCCAAGAAGUGGAUGCAAACAGACUGAAACAAAUGAUCAGAUUUGAAAAAGUUUCUUGAGUUCAAAUGUUUGCCAUGAGCCCAUGAGGGUCUCUAAACCGCAAGUGAAAAGUCAAGACUGCUUUAUGCCAAGUUGGAAUCAAAUACAAGGCAUAUGAUCAUAUUUUGUGGUCAAAUUGUAGAAAGCUGUUACAUGUUACAGUGCAAGUAGAAAUAGCUGGUAUACAAAACAUCAGAAAAAUGAUUGACCAGACUAUUAGAUAAAUGAGCAACAUCAAAUCUCAGUGGGAACCACAACCCAGCUGAUAUGUGGUGACCAACACCGACACCUCUUUUCAGCAGACAGAUCAAAUGUAGCUAGGUUAGCCUAUAAGUAGAACAAUAUAUAUUUUUGACAAGCUGUGUCAACAGCAGUUGUAUUGUAUAACCUAUAAGUAGAACAAUAUAUAUUUUUGACAAGCUGUGUCAACAGCAGUUGUAUUGUAUAACCUAUAAGUAGAACAAUAUAUAUUUUUGA
Rosa chinensis is the source of this 2995-nucleotide long non-coding RNA. RefSeq lists it as uncharacterized. The transcript has 9 exons. Lineage: Eukaryota; Viridiplantae; Streptophyta; Magnoliopsida; Rosales; Rosaceae. The record is from RefSeq and is a predicted model, not a curated record.